RNAcentral lists this unclassified non-coding RNA (342 nucleotides) under soil metagenome. Its description in RNAcentral is "partial contains 5.8S ribosomal RNA, internal transcribed spacer 2, and large subunit ribosomal RNA". The stretch from base 1 to 120 matches the Rfam family "5.8S ribosomal RNA", at positions 35 to 154 of the family's 154-position model. The record is from RNAcentral.
GAUGAAGAACGCAGCGAAAUGCGAAAAGUAAUGUGAAUUGCAGAAUUCAGUGAAUCAUCGAAUCUUUGAACGCACAUUGCGCCCGCCAGCACUCUGGCGGGCAUGCCUGUUCGAGCGUCAUUUCAACCAUCAAGCCCCCAGGGGCUUGUGCUGGGGCCCUGCGGCUGCCCGCAGGCCCUGAAAACCAGUGGCGGGCUCGCUAGUCACACCGAGCGCAGUAGCACAUCUCGCUCAGGGCGUGCGGCGGGCUCCUGCCGUGAAACCCCCCACUGUAACCCCAAAGGUUGACCUCGGAUCAGGUAGGAAUACCCGCUGAACUUAAGCAUAUCAAUAAGCGGAUGA